Molecule: ribosomal RNA, 468 nt
Filed under: uncultured bacterium
Lineage: Bacteria
Description: partial 16S ribosomal RNA
Rfam family: Bacterial small subunit ribosomal RNA
Source: RNAcentral
GACGAACGCUGGCGGCGCGCCUAACACAUGCAAGUCGAACGGAGCUGAGAGAAGCUUGCUUUUCUUAGCUUAGUGGCGAACGGGUGAGUAACGCGUGAGUAACCUGCCCUGGAGUGGGGGACAACAGUUGGAAACGACUGCUAAUACCGCAUAAGCCCACGAUCCGGCAUCGGAUUGAGGGAAAAGGAUUUAUUCGCUUCAGGAUGGACUCGCGUCCAAUUAGCUAGUUGGUGAGGUAACGGCCCACCAAGGCGACGAUUGGUAGCCGGACUGAGAGGUUGAACAGCCACAUUGGGACUGAGACACGGCCCAGACUCCUACGGGAGGCAGCAGUGGGGGAUAUUGCACAAUGGGGGAAACCCUGAUGCAGCGACGCCGCGUGGAGGAAGAAGGUUUUCGGAUUGUAAACUCCUGUCGUUAGGGACGAUAAUGACGGUACCUAACAAGAAAGCACCGGCUAACUACGUG